RNAcentral lists this ribosomal RNA (516 nucleotides) under Bacillus sp. (in: firmicutes). Its description in RNAcentral is "bacterial SSU rRNA". It matches the Rfam family "Bacterial small subunit ribosomal RNA", at positions 56 to 554 of the family's 1533-position model. The record is from RNAcentral. Lineage: Bacteria; Bacillati; Bacillota; Bacilli; Caryophanales; Bacillaceae.
UGCAAGUCGAGCGGACAGAUGGGAGCUUGCUCCCUGAUGUUAGCGGCGGACGGGUGAGUAACACGUGGGUAACCUGCCUGUAAGACUGGGAUAACUCCGGGAAACCGGGGCUAAUACCGGAUGCUUGAUUGAACCGCAGGUUCAAUUAUAAAAGGUGGCUUUUAGCUACCACUUACAGAUGGACCCGCGGCGCAUUAGCUAGUUGGUGAGGUAACGGCUCACCAAGGCAACAAUGCGUAGCCAACCUGAGAGGGUGAUCGGCCACACUGGGACUGAGACACGGCCCAAACUCCUACGGGAGGCAGCAGUAGGGAAUCUUCCGCAAUGGACGAAAGUCUGACGGAGCAACGCCCCGGGAGUGAUGAAGGUUUUCGGAUCGUAAAACUCUGUUGUUAGGGAAGAACAAGUACCGUUCGAAUAGGGCGGUACCUUGACGGUACCUAACCAGAAAGCCACGGCUAACUACGUGCCAGCAGCCGCGGUAAUACGUAGGUGGCAAGCGUUGUCCGGAAUUAU